AGAUUGAACGCUGGCGGCAGGCCUAACACAUGCAAGUCGAGCGGUAGAGAGGUGCUUGCAUCUCUUGAGAGCGGCGGACGGGUGAGUAAUGCCUAGGAAUCUGCCUAGUGGUGGGGGAUAACGUUCGGAAACGGACGCUAAUACCGCAUACGUCCUACGGGAGAAAGCGGGGGACCUUCGGGCCUCGCGCCAUUAGAUGAGCCUAGGUCGAUUAGCUAGUUGGUGAGGUAUGGCUCACCAAGGCGACGAUCCGUAACGUGGUCUGAGAGGA
This 271-nucleotide ribosomal RNA is filed under the name uncultured soil bacterium. RNAcentral describes it as "partial 16S ribosomal RNA". It matches the Rfam family "Bacterial small subunit ribosomal RNA", at positions 26 to 300 of the family's 1533-position model. The record is from RNAcentral.